Molecule: ribosomal RNA, 2833 nt
Filed under: human gut metagenome
Description: bacterial LSU rRNA
Rfam family: Bacterial large subunit ribosomal RNA
Source: RNAcentral
UCAAGCGAACAAGGGCGCAGGGCGAAUGCCUUGGCACUGGGAGCCGAUGAAAGACGUGAUAAGCUGCGAUAAGCUUCGGGGAGCUGCAAAUAAGCAUUGAUCCGGAGAUUUCUGAAUGAGGAAACUCACCUGGGUUCAUACUCAGGUACGUUAUACUGAACUUAAAAAUAGGUAUAUCGAGGGAACCGCCUGAACUGAAACAUCUAAGUAGGGCGAGGAAGAGACAUCAAACGAGAUUCCGUAAGUAGUGGCGAGCGAACGCGGAAGAGGGCAAACCGGGAGUAGAAAUACUUCCGGGGUACGGACCGCAUUUAGGACUUAAGUUGUUAACCGAACGGCAUGGGAAGGCCGGUCAGAGAGUGUGAGAACCACGUAGGUGAAAACGACAAGAGCUGAGCGAGUUCCAGAGUACGGCCAGACACGUGAAACCUGGUCGGAAUACGGGGGGACCACCCUCCAACCCUAAAUACUACCCAGUGACCGAUAGCGUAUAGUACUGUGAAGGAAAGGUGAAAAGCACCCCGGGAGGGGAGUGAAAAAGAACCUGAAACCCUGUGCCUACAAGCACCUAGAGCACGUCAAUGUGUGAUAGGGUACUUUUUGUAGAACGGUCCGGCGAGCGAUUGUAUGCAGCAAGGUUAAGGACUUAAGGUCUGGAGCCGAAGCGAAAGCGAGUUUGAAAAGGGCGUUAAGUUGCAUACAAUGGGCCCGAAACCGGGUGACCUACCCAUGGUCAGGUUGAAGUGGAAGUAAAAUUCCAUGGAGGACCGAACCGACCUCCGUUGAAAAGGCGGCGGAUGAACUGUGGGUAGCGGAGAAAUUCCAAUCGAACCCGGAGAUAGCUGGUUCUCCCCGAAAUAGUUUUAGGACUAGCCUCAAGUUAGAUACCUGGAGGUAAAGCACUGAAUAGCCUAGCGGCCGAGAGGUUAGCGAAGCUUAUCAAACUCAGAAUGCCAGAGUAUUGAUGCUUGGGAGUCAGACAGUGUCAGAUAAAUGUCAUUGUCAAAAGGGAAACAGCCCAGAUCUACAGCUAAGGUCCCAAAGUCAGGUUAAGUGGAAAACGAUGUGAAGAUACGUAGACAACCAGGAUGUUGGCUCAGAAGCAGCCACACAUUCAAAGAGUGCGUAAUAGCUCACUGGUCGAGCGUCUUUGCGCGGAGAAUUUAACGGGGCUAAACCUGACACCGAAGCUUAGGCAAUACAGCAAUGUAUUGGGUAGGGGAGCGUUGUAUACGCGGUGAAACAGUAGCGCAAGCGGCUGUGGAGUGUAUAGAAGUGAGAAUGCCGGAAUGAGUAGCGCGAAUGCAGUGAGAAUCUGCAUGGCCGAAAGCCUCAGGUUUCUGGAGGAAGGUUCGUCCGCUCCAGGUUAGUCGGGAGCUAAGGUGAGGCCUAACGGCGUAGCCGAUGCACAGACGGUAGAGAUUCCGUCACCACCAAAAGAGUUAAACACAGGGACACAUUUGAAGUCUCGGAGCCGGGUGUUGGUUCCGGUAGCGAUCGAGGGAAAUUAGUACCGAAGUCCGGGAUGGAAGAUGGCGAGAAAAGCUGUGUGUAUUUCUGCGGUGCCCGUACCGCAAACCGACACAGGUAGGUAGGAAGAAGAUUCUAAGGCCAACGGGAGAAGGGUUGUUAAGGAACUCGGCAAAUUGACCCCGUAACUUCGGGAGAAGGGGUGCUCCAGAGAUGGAGCCGCAGAGAAUCGGCCCAAGCAACUGUUUACCAAAAACACAGGUUUGUGCUAAAUCGAAAGAUGACGUAUACGAGCUGACGCCUGCCCGGUGCUGGAAGGUUAAGAGGAGAUGUGCAAGCAUUGAAUCGAAGCCCCAGUGAACGGCGGCCGUAACUAUAACGGUCCUAAGGUAGCGAAAUUCCUUGUCAGGUAAGUUCUGACCCGCAUGAAAGGCGUAAUGAUUUGGGCACUGUCUCGACAGCCCGCCCGGCGAAAUUGUAGUACCGGUGAAGAUGCCGGUUACCCGCGACAAGACGGAAAGACCCCAUGGAGCUUUACUGUAGCCUAAUAUUGGGUUUCGAUGUUGCAUGCACAGGAUAGAUGGGACACAGGGAAACAAGUGCUUUGGCAUUUGUGGAGUGGCCGUUGGGAUACCAUCCUUGCGAUAUUGGAAUUCUAACCUGCGCCUUUGAAUCAAGGCGGGGGACAUUGUUAGGUGGGCAGUUUGACUGGGGCGGUCGCCUCCUAAAGAGUAACGGAGGCGUUCAAAGGUUCGCUCAGCUUGAACGGAAAUCAAGCAAAAGAGUGCAAACGCAGAAGCGAGCCUAACUGCGAGACUGACGGGUCGAGCAGUAACGAAAGUUGGAGUUAGUGAUCCGGUGGUAUGUGAGUGGAAAUGCCAUCGCUCAACGGAUAAAAGUUACCCUGGGGAUAACAGGCUGAUCUCCCCCAAGAGUCCACAUCGACGGGGAGGUUUGGCACCUCGAUGUCGGCUCAUCGCAUCCUGGGGCUGUAUUCGGUCCCAAGGGUUUGGCUGUUCGCCAAUUAAAGCGGUACGCGAGCUGGGUUCAGAACGUCGUGAGACAGUUCGGUCCCUAUCUGUCGUGGGCGCAGGAUAUUUGAUGGGAGCUGUUCCUAGUACGAGAGGACCGGAGCGGACGUACCUCUGGCGCACCAGUUGUUCUGCCAAGGGCAUAGCUGGGCAACUAUGUACGGAUCGGAUAAACGCUGAAAGCAUCUAAGCGUGAAGCCGACCCAAAGAUAAGAUAUCCCAUUGUUUCAAACAAGUAAGACCCCUUGAAGACUACAAGGUUGAUAGGCACGAUGUGUAAGUGGAGUGAUUCAUUCAGCAAGCGUGUACUAAUAGGUCGAGGGCUUGACCAC